ACCCGGCCUCGCGUUUUGAGAGGCCCCGCAGUCUACGAAAACUACCCAAUUAAAAAACACCGAUUUUGAUUAACUUUUUACAGAAUGAUGAUACCAUUAACAGAUGCAAGAAAUUUUUUUAGUAGCGAUGAUUUGGUUUAAAGGAGUGACAAAAAUCAUCAAAGUUCAGUGUAACUCCAUAAAGUCCUCAUAUCCUGGAAAGUACUUUAGAUAAAAAAAUCCAGACGCUUUCAGAGAAAUGUACUUUUUAGAGAAAUUAAACUACAUCAAUAGUUUUUUGCAAAAGUCAUACAUGAUUACAGUUUUUUGGACUAUAUCUAGAAACUCAGCAAUUU
Molecule: long non-coding RNA, 335 nt
Filed under: Androctonus crassicauda
Lineage: Eukaryota; Metazoa; Arthropoda; Arachnida; Scorpiones; Buthidae
Source: RNAcentral